This 253-nucleotide unclassified non-coding RNA is filed under the name uncultured Bacteroidota bacterium. RNAcentral's name for it is "uncultured Bacteroidetes bacterium contains 16S-23S intergenic spacer region". It matches the Rfam family "Bacterial small subunit ribosomal RNA", at positions 524 to 776 of the family's 1533-position model. The record is from RNAcentral. Lineage: Bacteria; Pseudomonadati; Bacteroidota.
UACGGAGGGUGCAAGCGUUGUCCGGAAUCAUUGGGUGUAAAGGGUGUGUAGGCGGGCCUGUAAGUCAGAGGUGAAAGCCCACGGCUUAACCGUGGAACUGCCUUUGAUACUGCAGAUCUUGAGUCCUGGAGAGGUGGCUGGAAUUCGUGGUGUAGCGGUGAAAUGCGUAGGUAUCACGAGGAACACCAGAGGUGUAGACGGGUCACUGGACAGGUACUGACGCUGAGGCACGAAAGCGUGGGGAGCAAACAGG